AUUGAACGCUGGCGGCAUGCCUUACACAUGCAAGUCGAACGGCAGCACGGGUGCUUGCACCUGGAGGCGAGUGGCGAACGGGUGAGUAAUACAUCGGAACAUGUCCUGUAGUGGGGGAUAGCCCGGCGAAAGCCGGAUUAAUACCGCAUACGAUCUACGGAUGAAAGCGGGGGACCUUCGGGCCUCGCGCUAUAGGGUUGGCCGAUGGCUGAUUAGCUAGUUGGUGGGGUAAAGGCCUACCAAGGCGACGAUCAGUAGCUGGUCUGAGAGGACGACCAGCCACACUGGGACUGAGACACGGCCCAGACUCCUACGGGAGGCAGCAGUGGGGAAUUUUGGACAAUGGGCGAAAGCCUGAUCCAGCAAUGCCGCGUGUGUGAAGAAGGCCUUCGGGUUGUAAAGCACUUUUGUCCGGAAAGAAAUCCUUGGCCCUAAUACGGUCGGGGGAUGACGGUACCGGAAGAAUAAGCACCGGCUAACUACGUG
Molecule: ribosomal RNA, 486 nt
Filed under: uncultured bacterium
Lineage: Bacteria
Description: partial 16S ribosomal RNA
Rfam family: Bacterial small subunit ribosomal RNA
Source: RNAcentral